GUUGACUGAUACAAGCUCAGAAGGCUUUACCACACACAGGAACCUAAGGCAGAAAGCAUAGAUGACAAACAUAAAUGAUAUUGUUGAAGGAUACUACAGAUCACCUGGACAGAAAAAAGAAAAUGCAUAAGAAAUUUGGCCAAUAGAUCACAAACCUGACAUGGAAGUAUAUUGUAGUGACAGGGGUCUGGAUGUCAACCUUUGCAUUCAAGCUCGACUGCAGAGCUUUCUGCCAAAAGAAGGGCUAAUAAAUUUGUGACUUGCCUUAAUAACA
Phascolarctos cinereus (koala) is the source of this 274-nucleotide long non-coding RNA. RefSeq lists it as uncharacterized. The record is from RefSeq and is a predicted model, not a curated record. Lineage: Eukaryota; Metazoa; Chordata; Mammalia; Diprotodontia; Phascolarctidae.